AAAGGACACAAAGAACACAGUAUUUUGCACCAGGAGUGUUUUCUCAGAGGAACAGACAACUUACUGACCUCCACUUUCUCUCACCAGGUUCAAGGGCACCUCGGUAGGAGGGUGGCUUCCUCCUCCUUCUUCCAACAGGCCCAACAUGGCGGGUUCUUUACCUGUUCCAAGAUCGCAGUUCCCAGAACAACAUCAAAAGCAGUAAUGUAAAGUCUGUUUUCUUUCUAAAAAGAAAACUCAGGAGGUAAGGAGAGGCAAGACCUCAAAAGCCUCCUUUAUUUGGAAUACUAAAUUGCACCUGAGGCAUACUCAAUUGAGACUUUCUCUCCCACCUUUGGAGAUCUUACUCCGUUGGAGUGGGAAGACGGCAACUCACAUAGUAAUAUGGAAUUUGAAUAGAAAAUAAAUUGUGCUGAAUCUCACGUAUGAUGUCCUAAAAGUGUCCAAAAUGAUGUCAUUAAAAAGGCAGGGAGGGGGACUGCAAUUAGAUGGAUGAGGAAGAGGCAGUUGAGAAAACAGAUUAAUGAUGCCGUUGACACAAUCAGCCUGUGAGGAAUACUGGUUUCUAUGACAACCAAACCACUUAACCUCAAUUAACAAAGCUGUUCAAAAAGAAAAACUUGAAAGAUGGGGAGGGGAAAAGCCAGCGGAUCCUCUUUGGGGGAAUGAAGUAGCCUGUCCCCUCAGCGCCUGUGAGACAAGCGUGUAUUAACUACAUAUCCGCAGGGACUCACCCAUUUUUUGUUAAAGAAUAACUAGAUAAUCUAGCCUCUGAGGGGGUGACAGCUGGACUCAACUGAUGAGAAGAAGUGAACCAAGCAAAGACUUGAGGGAAGUCAACUCCAGGCACAGCAAAGGAUGAGUGCAAAGGCUAUGAGCUUGAUGCAAAAGACCACAGUGACCUUAGCAGAUGUGUGAAGACAGCAGAGCCACAAGACUGAAAGAACCGCGAUUACUGAAUCACAUCAUGAAAACCCACCCUCUGACAGAAACAACUGGUUUGUGAUGGACAUCUGUUUGCCUUAUCUCACAUAGGGGAGGAGGGGAAGAAUUUAAUCUUGGAUUAGCCCUUUGUGGUUUUGCAUACCCCCUUCUCUGAUCCUCCUUAGAGGUGAAUAAAGUAGUGGAAUGGUCCCCAUUUUACAGCUGUGUUAGGCAAAGUUCAGAGAAGUUAAUGGCUAGGGAGGGGGAGCACAGGCCACAGUCUAGCCAAAGCCAGCCUCAAAUAUAGAUCUCCUGAUUCCCAGAGCCUAUUACUUCUUCCACUGUGCUAUACCCUGAAUGCUGAAGAUUCCUCCUUAAACUGAACAUGUCAGCAGCUAAUCUUUGAGCUAUUAAAUAAAUUACAAAAAGAUGAUAUAAAAGGCAAUCCUUCCUUGAGACAACUGUACCAUCCCAUUUAUCUCUUCAUGCCCAGGACUUGGGCAAGAACUUGGUACCGAGAAGGGCCUUCAUAACUGUAUGUUAUGAUUUUUAAAAAAAGUCUUACCAAGAAACAAAAAUUCAAGUUUAUAUCACAUUGACAACUAAAGACCAGCAAAACAGAUGUCGUGUACUGCUUCCACAUGUAGACCAACCAGAAUAAGACUCCAAUUCCAUCAAAUGUAAUUUAUUUAAAUAACAAUUCAAUUGCAUGUUAAGUAAACCAGUUGUAGCAAUAUAA
RNAcentral lists this long non-coding RNA (1663 nucleotides) under Homo sapiens (human). RNAcentral describes it as "HSALNT0351241". Lineage: Eukaryota; Metazoa; Chordata; Mammalia; Primates; Hominidae. The record is from RNAcentral.